CAGCCGCGGUAAUUCCAGCUCCAAUAGCGUAUAUUAAAGUUGUUGCAGUUAAAAAGCUCGUAGUUGAAUUUCGGGAUCAAUAUGUCGGUCGUGCCUUCGGUACGCACUGGUAUCAUUGGUUUCUCCUUUCUGACGAACCAUGAUGUCAUUAAUUUGGUGUUAUGGGGAGUUAGGACUGUUACUUUGAAAAAAUUAGAGUGUUUAAAGCAGGCUUUAGCUUGAAUACAUUAGCAUGGAAUAAUGAAAUAGGACGUUCGAACCUAUUUUGUUGGUUUCUAGGAUCAACGUAAUGAUUAAUAGGGAUAGUUGGGGGCAUUAGUAUUCAAUUGUCAGAGGUGAAAUUCUUGGAUUUAUUGAAGACUAACUACUGCGAAAGCAUUUGCCAAGGAUGUUUCAUUAAUCAAGAACGAAGUUAGGGGAUCGAAGACGAUCAGAUACCGUCGUAGUCUUAACCAUAAACUAUGCCGACUAGGAUCGGAUGAUGUUAAUUUAUAAUGACUCAUUUGGCACCUUACGGGAAAC
Molecule: ribosomal RNA, 522 nt
Filed under: uncultured Glomeromycotina
Lineage: Eukaryota; Fungi; Glomeromycota
Description: SSU rRNA
Rfam family: Eukaryotic small subunit ribosomal RNA
Source: RNAcentral